AUACGUAGGGGGCGAGCGUUGUCCGGAAUGAUUGGGCGUAAAGGGCGCGUAGGCGGCCCGGUAAGUCUGGAGUGAAAGUCCUGUUUUUAAGAUGGGAAUUGCUUUGGAUACUGUCGGGCUUGAGGGCAGGAGAGGUAAGUGGAAUUCCCAGUGGAGCGGUGAAAUGCGUAGAGAUUGGGAGGAACACCAGUGGCGAAGGCGACUUACUGGACUGUAACUGACGCUGAGGCGCGAAAGUGUGGGGAGCAAACAGGAUUAGAUACCCUGGUAGUCCACACUGUAAACGAUGAAUGCUAGGUGUAGGGGGUAUCGACCCCUUCUGUGCCGCAGUCAACACAAUAAGCAUUCCGCCUGGGGAGUACGGCCGCAAGGUUGAAACUCAAAGGAAUUGACGGGG
This 397-nucleotide ribosomal RNA is filed under the name uncultured bacterium. RNAcentral describes it as "partial 16S ribosomal RNA". It matches the Rfam family "Bacterial small subunit ribosomal RNA", at positions 523 to 918 of the family's 1533-position model. The record is from RNAcentral.